Molecule: ribosomal RNA, 450 nt
Filed under: uncultured bacterium
Lineage: Bacteria
Description: partial 16S ribosomal RNA
Rfam family: Bacterial small subunit ribosomal RNA
Source: RNAcentral
GUGGGGAAUCUUCCGCAAUGGACGAAAGUCUGACGGAGCAACGCCGCGUGAGUGAAGAAGGUUUUCGGAUCGUAAAGCUCUUUCGUUAGGGACGAACGUGCUCUUUGUGAAUAAUGAGGAGUAAUGACGGUACCUAAAUAAGAAGCCACGGCUAACUACGUGCCAGCAGCCGCGGUAAUACGUAGGUGGCAAGCGUUGUCCGGAAUUAUUGGGCGUAAAGCGCGCGCAGGCGGGAUAUCAAGUCUGUCUUAAAAGUGCGAGGCUCAACCUUGUGAGGGGACAGAAACUGGUAUUCUUGAGUGUCGGAGAGGAAAGUGGAAUUCCAAGUGUAGCGGUGAAAUGCGUAGAGAUUUGGAAGAACACCAGUGGCGAAGGCGACUUUCUGGACGAUGUCUGACGCUGAGGCGCGAAAGCUAGGGGAGCGAACGGGAUUAGAAACCCUGGUAGUCC